Molecule: non-coding RNA, 180 nt
Organism: Cyclobacterium lianum
Lineage: Bacteria; Pseudomonadati; Bacteroidota; Cytophagia; Cytophagales; Cyclobacteriaceae
Source: Rfam
UUUGCCGUGAGGCAUGCAGUGAAGUAAGCCAGACUGCGGUGUCUGUACUGACGAACAGAAACCAUAUACUGAGGCCAUGAGGUCGGAUGAGGUGCCACAUCACGCCGAAGUCCUAACCUUCCGAAAGGAAGGAAGCAUCGAAAUGGUAGAUAUGGCAGGAAUAGGCACAAGGAUAUUCAC